RNAcentral lists this ribosomal RNA (485 nucleotides) under uncultured bacterium. Its description in RNAcentral is "bacterial SSU rRNA". It matches the Rfam family "Bacterial small subunit ribosomal RNA", at positions 28 to 509 of the family's 1533-position model. The record is from RNAcentral.
GAUGAACGCUAGCGGCAGGCCUAACACAUGCAAGUCGAGGGGCAGCACAGGUAGCAAUACUGGGUGGCGACCGGCGGAUGGGUGCGUAACGCGUAUGCAACCUACCAUUGAUUGGGGCAUAGCCCGAAGAAAUUCGGAUUAAUACUCCAUAAUAUUCAUCAAAGGCAUCUUUUAUGAAUUAAAGCUUUUGCGAUCAAUGGUGGGCAUGCGUGACAUUAGUUAGUUGGUGAGGUAACGGCUCACCAAAACGAUGAUGUCUAGGGGUUCUGAGAGGAUUAUCCCCCACACUGGUACUGAGACACGGACCAGACUCCUACGGGAGGCAGCAGUGAGGAAUAUUGGUCAAUGGACGCAAGUCUGAACCAGCCAUGCCGCGUGCAGGAUGACGGCCCUAUGGGUUGUAAACUGCUUUUCCACGGGAAGAACCCUCCGACGUGUCGGAGACUGACGGUACCGUGGGAAUAAGCAUCGGCUAACUCCGUGCC